GAUGAACGCUGGCGGCGUGCCUAAUACAUGCAAGUCGAGCGAACGGACGAGAAGCUUGCUUCUCUGAUGUUAGCGGCGGACGGGUGAGUAACACGUGGAUAACCUACCUAUAAGACUGGGAUAACUUCGGGAAACCGGAGCUAAUACCGGAUAAUAUUUUGAACCACAUGGUUGAAAAGUGAAAGACGGUCUUGCUGUCACUUAUCGAUGGAUCCGCGCUGCAUUAGCUAGUUGGUAAGUUAACGGCUUACUAAGGCAACGAUGCACAGCCGACCGGAGAGGGUGAUCGGCGACACUGGAGGUGAGCCACGGUCCAGGCGCCUACGGGAGGCAGCAGUAGGGAAUCGGCCGCAGAGGGCGAAAGCCUGGCGGAGCGACGCCGAGUGAGUGGUGAAGGUCUUCGGAUCGUAAAACUCUGUUAUUAGGGAAGAACAUAUGUGUAAGUAACUGUGCACAUCGUGACGGUACCUAAUCAGAAAGCCACGGCUAACUACGUG
RNAcentral lists this ribosomal RNA (497 nucleotides) under uncultured bacterium. RNAcentral describes it as "partial 16S ribosomal RNA". It matches the Rfam family "Bacterial small subunit ribosomal RNA", at positions 28 to 507 of the family's 1533-position model. The record is from RNAcentral.